This 697-nucleotide ribosomal RNA is filed under the name uncultured bacterium. RNAcentral describes it as "partial 16S ribosomal RNA". The record is from RNAcentral.
UUUCACCGCUACACAUGGAAUUCCACUUUCCUCUUCUGCACUCAAGUUUUCCAGUUUCCAAUGACCCUCCACGGUUGAGCCGUGGGCUUUCACAUCAGACUUAAAAAACCGCCUACGCGCGCUUUACGCCCAAUAAUUCCGGAUAACGCUUGCCACCUACGUAUUACCGCGGCUGCUGGCACGUAGUUAGCCGUGGCUUUCUGAUUAGGUACCGUCAAGAUGUGCACAGUUACUUACACAUAUGUUCUUCCCUAAUAACAGAGUUUUACGAUCCGAAGACCUUCAUCACUCACGCGGCGUUGCUCCGUCAGGCUUUCGCCCAUUGCGGAAGAUUCCCUACUGCUGCCUCCCGUAGGAGUCUGGACCGUGUCUCAGUUCCAGUGUGGCCGAUCACCCUCUCAGGUCGGCUAUGCAUCGUUGCCUUGGUAAGCCGUUACCUUACCAACUAGCUAAUGCAGCGCGGAUCCAUCUAUAAGUGACAGCAAGACCGUCUUUUACUUUUGAACCAUGCGGUUCAAAAUAUUAUCCGGUAUUAGCUCCGGUUUCCCGAAGUUAUCCCAGUCUUAUAGGUAGGUUAUCCACGUGUUACUCACCCGUCCGCCGCUAACAUCAGAGAAGCAAGCUUCUCGUCCGUUCGCUCGACUUGCAUGUAUUAGGCACGCCGCCAGCGUUCAUCCUGAGCCAGGAUCAAACUCUA